UACGGAGGGUGCGAGCGUUGUUCGGAAUCACUGGGCGUAAAGCGCGUGUAGGCGGCCCACUAAGUCUGAUGUGAAAGCCCGGGGCUCACCCCCGGAAGUGCAUUGGAAACUGGUGGACUCGAGUCCCGGAGAGGAGAGUGGAAUUCCUGGUGUAGCGGUGAAAUGCGCAGAUAUCAGGAGGAACACCGGUGGCGAAGGCGGAUCUCUGGGCCUUACCUGACGCUGAGGCGCGAAAGCUAGGGGAGCAAACAGG
This 253-nucleotide ribosomal RNA is filed under the name uncultured bacterium. RNAcentral's name for it is "partial 16S ribosomal RNA". It matches the Rfam family "Bacterial small subunit ribosomal RNA", at positions 524 to 776 of the family's 1533-position model. The record is from RNAcentral.